CACUUCAUUUUAAGCGUUACAAUCACAAUCUCGUGAGCUGCAUACACAACCGACGAUGGAUUCAACUCGUUGUUGUCGAUAAAUGUGCAGCUGCGUUUCAACAGGCUGUGCGGAGAUAUACGCAUAGGUAUACUGGAAGGGCAUCACAUUUAUCGGCGUUGCAGCUUUUUCCCUCAAGGGCACGCAAGGCGCAACAUGGUAUUAGGAUUUUAUACGGAACCUCACGGCGACGCUGCCGACGACGACCAAGGCGCAAGUUCACCUGGAGUGGCCAUAUAAUUGCUAUCGCGAUAAAAAAAACGCAGGUCC
This is a long non-coding RNA of Dermacentor silvarum, 309 nucleotides long. RefSeq lists it as uncharacterized. NCBI's taxonomy places the organism in Eukaryota, Metazoa, Arthropoda, Arachnida, Ixodida, Ixodidae. The record is from RefSeq and is a predicted model, not a curated record. The transcript has 3 exons.